RNAcentral lists this ribosomal RNA (446 nucleotides) under uncultured bacterium. RNAcentral's name for it is "partial 16S ribosomal RNA". It matches the Rfam family "Bacterial small subunit ribosomal RNA", at positions 338 to 795 of the family's 1533-position model. The record is from RNAcentral.
CCUACGGGAGGCAGCAGUCGAGAAUCAUUCACAAUGGGGGAAACCCUGAUGGUGCGACGCCGCGUGGGGGAAUGAAGGUCUUCGGAUUGUAAACCCCUGUCAUGUGGGAGCAAAUGAAAAAGAUAGUACCACAAGAGGAAGAGACGGCUAACUCGGUGACAGCAGCCGCGGUAAUACAGAGGUCUCAAGCGUUAUUCGGAAUUACUGGGCGUAAAGCGUGCGUAGGCGGGUUCGUAAGUCGUGUGUGAAAUGCGCGGGCUCAACCCGCGGACGGCACAUGAUACUGGGAGACUAGAGUAAUGGAGAGGGAAGCGGAAUUCGCGGUGUAGCAGUGAAAUGCGUAGAGAUCGAGAGGAACACUCGUGGCGAAGGCGGGUCCCUGGACAGUAACUGACGCUGAGGUACGAAGGCGUGGGGAGCGAAAAGGAUUAGAUACCCCUGUAGUC